UGGGGAAUAUUGGACAAUGGGCGAAAGCCUGAUCCAGCCAUGCCGCGUGUGUGAAGAAGGCCUUUUGGUUGUAAAGCACUUUAAGUGGGGAGGAAAAGCUUAUGGUUAAUACCCAUAAGCCCUGACGUUACCCACAGAAUAAGCACCGGCUAACUCUGUGCCAGCAGCCGCGGUAAUACAGAGGGUGCAAGCGUUAAUCGGAAUUACUGGGCGUAAAGCGCGCGUAGGUGGUUAUUUAAGUCAGAUGUGAAAGCCCCGGGCUUAACCUGGGAACUGCAUCUGAUACUGGAUAACUAGAGUAGGUGAGAGGGGAGUAGAAUUCCAGGUGUAGCGGUGAAAUGCGUAGAGAUCUGGAGGAAUACCGAUGGCGAAGGCAGCUCCCUGGCAUCAUACUGACACUGAGGUGCGAAGGCGUGGGUAGCAAACAGGAUUAGAUACCCUGGUAGUCCACGCCGUAAACGAUGUCUACCAGUCGUUGGGUCUUUUAAAGACUUAGUGACGCAGUUAACGCAAUAAGUAGACCGCCUGGGGAGUACGGCCGCAAGGUUA
RNAcentral lists this ribosomal RNA (549 nucleotides) under uncultured bacterium. RNAcentral's name for it is "bacterial SSU rRNA". It matches the Rfam family "Bacterial small subunit ribosomal RNA", at positions 355 to 896 of the family's 1533-position model. The record is from RNAcentral.